GACGAACGCUGGCGGCGUGCUUAACACAUGCAAGUCGAACGGAAAGGCCCUGCUUUUGUGGGGUGCUCGAGUGGCGAACGGGUGAGUAACACGUGAGUAACCUGCCCUUGACUUUGGGAUAACUUCAGGAAACUGGGGCUAAUACCGGAUAGGAGCUCCUGCUGCAUGGUGGGGGUUGGAAAGUUUCGGCGGUUGGGGAUGGACUCGCGGCUUAUCAGCUUGUUGGUGGGGUAGUGGCUUACCAAGGCUUUGACGGGUAGCCGGCCUGAGAGGGUGACCGGCCACAUUGGGAAUGAGAUACGGCCCAGACUCCUAAGGGAGGCAGCAGUGGGGAAGAUUGCAAAAUGGGCGGAAGCCUGAUGCAGGAACGCCGCGUGCGGGAUGAAGGCCUUCGGGUUGUAAACCGCUUUCGCCUGUGAAGAAGCGGGAGUGACGGUAAUGGGUAAAGAAGCACCGGCUAACUACGUG
This 468-nucleotide ribosomal RNA is filed under the name uncultured bacterium. RNAcentral describes it as "partial 16S ribosomal RNA". It matches the Rfam family "Bacterial small subunit ribosomal RNA", at positions 28 to 507 of the family's 1533-position model. The record is from RNAcentral.